Molecule: ribosomal RNA, 253 nt
Filed under: uncultured bacterium
Lineage: Bacteria
Description: partial 16S ribosomal RNA
Rfam family: Bacterial small subunit ribosomal RNA
Source: RNAcentral
UACGAGGGGUGCAAGCGUUGCUCGGAAUCAUUGGGCGUAAAGCGCACGUAGGCGGCUUGCCAAGUCGGACGUGAAAUCCCUCAGCUCAACUGAGGACGUGCAUCCGAAACUGGCGAGCUUGAGUGCUGAAGAGGAUCGCGGAAUUCCCGGUGUAGAGGUGAAAUUCGUAGAUAUCGGGAGGAACACCAGUGGCGAAGGCGGCGAUCUGGGCAGACACUGACGCUGAGGUGCGAAAGCGUGGGGAGCAAACAGG